Molecule: long non-coding RNA, 513 nt
Organism: Chroicocephalus ridibundus (black-headed gull)
Lineage: Eukaryota; Metazoa; Chordata; Aves; Charadriiformes; Laridae
Exons: 3
Source: RefSeq, a predicted model, not a curated record
GCUGCGGGGGCCCUGCUGGUGCCGCUGGGGAGUAACUGGGAGCCUCCUGGGAGCCGCGGGGGGGCUGUUGGGAGCUGCCGGGAGCGCGUUGGUGCUGACUGGGAGCUACUGGGGCCUCUCCCCCCCCGCCCCGCUGCCGGUGUGGACUGGGAGCGCCGGGCUUGGGGGGGGGGGGGGGGCGCAGGAGGGAGCCCCCCAGGGCCUCAGAGGAGCCCCCGGGACGGAGCGGAGCCGUGGGUUGGGACCCCCCCAGAGCCACUCUUUUUUGGAUGUGGGGGGGGAUGACCUUUUCCCCCUCCCCCGGUGUGUGGGGGGGGCCCGGCGCUGCCCGCGGAGCGCGGCCUCGGCCCCCCCGAGGCCGGCAGGGUGAAGCCCCCCCGCAGCCUUGGAGGACGCUCGGGGUGUUUGUGGCGGAGCAGCAGCGGCGCCAUUGUCCGUGCAGGUGCGUGGGGCGCAGUGCGGGCCCCCCCCCCGCCUCUAAAACCAGUGUGUGUGUGUGGGGGGGUGUCAGGG